RNAcentral lists this transfer RNA (65 nucleotides) under Phalops smaragdinus. Its description in RNAcentral is "tRNA-Glu". The record is from RNAcentral. Lineage: Eukaryota; Metazoa; Arthropoda; Insecta; Coleoptera; Scarabaeidae.
AAUUUAUUAGUUUAAACAAAACAUUACAUUUUCAAUGUAAAAAUAAAUUCCUUAUUUAUAAAUUA